Long non-coding RNA from Pangasianodon hypophthalmus (striped catfish), 5759 nucleotides. RefSeq lists it as uncharacterized. The record is from RefSeq and is a predicted model, not a curated record. The transcript is spliced from 3 exons. NCBI's taxonomy places the organism in Eukaryota, Metazoa, Chordata, Actinopteri, Siluriformes, Pangasiidae.
AGUUUUACACUUGCUUUCAAUAUUACAACUAGAACCUAAUCAAAAGAACAUAUUUCAACCUUGCGCUACAUGGAAAGUUUUUGACCAUUGUGCCACAGCCGCUAUGCCCAAACUGAUAGACCUGAAUGAUGAUGAGCACCAUUAUUAUUAUCAUCACCGCUUCUCCAUUCAAAUUCUGCUUUAAUACUCAGUAUCGAUUGCAGUCCUCGACUUUGCACUGUGUAUUCAAUUUUAGCCAUCAGUGCGUUCUGCUGAACAGAGCGUCUCAUCUUUCAUUGCAUAAAUCUCAUUUGCUAUCUCUAGCAGCACAUGGUGCCUGUCUCCUCUGGCAAGGAUGAUUCGUUUUGCUAGGAUGCACACUAGAUGGGGAGGAAAAGGGAAACAGAGUUGAAGACAGGGCUACAAUCUUACUGUGCUUUUAGUCUGACUCCUUAGCCACGCUCCCUAAUGUCCCACAGCGGUGAAGCUGGGAUGUCUAAAUUAGGAAGGAGAGGGCAGAGGAGAACCCAUUCUCCUUGCUUCAUGUUGUUUACACAGUGUGACUGUGCUAGUGAGGCACUGAAUAAGUACAAAUGGAGCAGCCCAGGGAGGGGCUUAGGCCAGUGAUUCGUCUCGACUUCUAAAGAGGAGGCCAUUAAUAGCAGGCCUUCAGCUCUUGUUUGAACAGUCGUAUGUGUCAGAGGAAUAUUAUCAAGUGGAGAGACUGCCACAGGCUACAGAAGAAAAAGAGUUUAGCAAUGGAAGCUGUACAGCUCGGGGUAAAACUGCUGGACAAAAACUAUAAUAAGGUUCCACAGCUUUACGACUUAAAGUGGAUGUCUCACUUUCACAUUCAAACAAGGUCACAACUGACAACAUAUGGCAAGGCCACGCAAUGAUAUACUGUGCCCUGAAGGAAGCGCCAUCUCUCAUCAGCCCAUUGCGAUGCUGGUCAUAUGAGCAGGGUGGAUGAUGACGAUGCCCACUGCAGAGUUAAUAUCCAGGGUGCUCCGAGCUCUGUCAGAGGCCGACUCAUUCCACUGAUAAAUGUCUGGUCCAGAACAGCCUUCAACUUAUGGGAAAUCUGUCUUUCUAAAAAUUUAACCUCCUCUCUAUGGCCCCCUUUUUCCCUGCCUUUACACUCCUGAAAGGUAGGCAUUACUCACUCACCUAGGAUUCCUGUAGUGGUGCUUUUUUCUUUUUUUUUUUUUUUGCUUACUUCAUGUUUAUAAAUGAGACUUUUAAGAAAUCAGCACAUCAGUACUCUGGUUGAAUAUGGUAUUUUGUAUACUUAUGAAUAUUUCUUGCUCUUUUGAAUUAUGAUGUGUAUAAUAUUUUGUGUUCUUUCUACUUUACAGCCUCUUCCUCAACAAUAACCUAAUGGAUCUGAAUAAUAAAUGUGUGGCAGCCUGGGAAAGUGCUGAAAUGGUGAAAUAUUGUGUGAAGUUCUGAAAACAACCAGUUUUCCUGAAUGAAAUUAUGUUUCUCCUUCAUACAUUUCCAUCACAAGUUACAACAUUUUAAAAUCAUAUUACCUCCAGAAGUGAAAAGGAAGAAAACUGCAUUGUUGAGCAUUUAAAAAUUCCAUCCAGUUCAAAUGAAAGACACCAACAUACUGAACGUCUAAAAGCAAAAUCUAUGUAUUAAUUUUAGUUUAGCUGAAUGUAAUAUGUAAUGAGUAAGUUAUAUAAAUUAUAAAUAUGAUAAUGAAAACUAUGUUUUCAGCCUUUAUUUAUAGCCUACAGACUAAUAGGCUAUGAGAAACCCAUUCCAUGCAAAAUACUAUCCUUAUCUUUAUAUUAUCUCAAUUGUAAUUACUUUAACCUGAUGUAAUAUUAUCCUAAGAUGACAGGAUAUAGCACACAAAUACUCUGCCUAUGUAUACACUUCUAACCUAAUAUAUUUAUGGAAAAACAACAAUAGUGCCACUUUAUCAAAGAUUAUACAUUUCUGAUGGGAAAUGUGCAAUUACUUUCACAUCCAUCAUCAUUAUCAGUCUCUCAUCACUUUAGGUAAAUGUCAGUCAUGGAAUUUGAUGAAUAGGAGUAUCAUUGUUGCUCUUGACUCAACUGAUCACUGUCCAAAAAUGGGGAUGACAGGUUAGAGGCUAAUUAGAUUAACUAGCUAGCUAGCUAGCUAACAUCUACAGAUAAAUUCAAUUACGUAGCCUGUAAUUUGUAUUUGCAUUUCUUUAUUUGGGUUUGAGUAUAGCUCAUGUCUGGUGUCUUCCAUAUUCUAACAGAUUCUCUGCUGACGUAUUUACAAGUAGCUUCAACCUCUCCAUCCGCCUCAUCUCAAUUAGCUCCUGGUGAUCAAGGUGACCCAGCCUCUCCAUCCACUGCAUCUCAACUAAAAUCUCGCCUAGGGCGCCAACAGAGCCUGGGCUGGCCCUGACAACAUGUACCACUUAUCUAUCUCCUUACAUACAUUCUACCCCACUUUAUCUUAUGGCAAGACAUAUCAGGUCAGAACACCCUGGUACAGAAUACACUCACAAAUAAUAACAAUCAGCAUAAAGAGAAUAAAACAGAUUUUAAGCAUAAGAGAAAGUAAAGGAAAAUCAAAUAGUACGACAUUGUCCUGUAACUAAUGUCAUCUUUGUAGAAAGCCAAGGCAAGUAAAUGAAAAUGUUUUCAUAUUGCGGUGAGAUAUAGUUCUGUUUUCUUAAUAUAGAUGUAGAUGUGUUAUAAGCAGAAAAACAAAUCCAAAUUUGGCCACACAGUUUUUCAUCAUUGUUAAUUGUUUGCCAGAAUUCAGCCACAGCUGCACUUCAUACGUUUUUCAAGCCAUCACACAAAUAUAUGAAAAUAUAAAGUAUACUGUAUUUUUGUGUAGGGUUCUCAUUUUUUUCGCUGCAUGUGUGGGUCAUCAUCUCAAAUACUUGUCUAAUCGACAUAUUAUUUAGAUUUGUUUCAACCUUCAGAAUGUUGCAGAAUUAGGAGGGAAAAAAACAUUGGCUCCUCUCAGGCUCAUCUCUAUGGGUUGUAUAAAAGUUUUAUUGACUAAAAACCAUGGAAGAUGUGAGCUCAGUUACUGUCACUUACACAAUUAUAAGGGUGAUUCCAUUGUACAAAUGAACUGUCACUUGUUCCAACAAAAGAAAUGAUAGUAGAUAGUUAAUUAUAUACACUUUUAGAAGUUGUUGAGUUUGCGUCAAACACUUUAAACAGCUGAUUUCCUCUAAAAACAAUUGCUAUUAUUGUAAUAAUUAGUUAGUUUUUUUUUUUUGCUAAUUAGUCUCCAUUUUCACCUGUGACACAUUCUAUUAUAUAUUGUGAAUGCAUGAUAGUAUUACCAAAAUAACUCAUACAGCAGUGUCAACUCUGCAACCAGAAAUAUCACAUCUGAGCUUAAUUCUAGUUUGUAGAGUAUCAUCACAGAAUGCACCAUUUUGGCUAUAUUGUGGAUGGCAAAGGACCAUGUCAAGACCCAAUGGUGUCAACAUAGGAGACUUAAACCUCUAGCACUGAGGAAUGGAAAGUUCAUUUUGCAUCAUGAUGAUCAGAAUUUGGUACAAGCAGCAUACAUUCAUGGAACUUGCUGUUUGGUGUCAACAAUACAGGCUGAUGGUAGCAGUAUGAAAAUGCUUGGUUUCCUGAUACUUAUUCGGUAAUGUCUGAAUGGCCAUGUGGUAUUUGAUAGAUGUACCUGAUAGACAAGCAUCUCAGAACUAUGAUACUUCUUCAUACAUUUAAAUUCCAAAAUAAAAUAUGUAUUUAGCAAACUGUCAAUCUUUCUGCUGUGCAUAUCAAAAAUUUUUACUUUGCAUUAGGUAGUUACUCUGCCUUAACAGCGUUGACAGUAACAGAGUUAACGUUCUUGGCCAUGUUGAUCAUUACAUCUCAGCUUAUUGCAGUACAAUCACAUUGUAGCAAAGCCAAACUUCAUUCACAACCUACUGGCCACUUUAUGGGCUAUAUAUAUAUAUACCUAUAUACAGGACUUUGGAAAGAACAUUUAUGCUUGUCCCAGCUCACUAUGGCUAUCUUAGCUUGAAAUAUAAUCAUGAUUAUUUUUGCAUUAAUAUGUGAAUCCAUUUAACAUCUCAGGUUUGAAGCAUCUGUUUCCAUGAGUCAUCCAUUAUAAAUUAUAAAAAAUGUACAUUUUUAUGUUCCCACAACAUUCACUCAACCCUGUUCAGCUGAACAUAUUCACCCCAUUUUAAGUACAUUAUUAGAAUGUCCUUAAUGCCACGAGCAUGGACGCAAGCAUAGAGUUAGCAAAUGCACAAAAUGUGUAUUUGCUAACACUUUGAUAAAAAUCUCAAACCUGGUACUUAUUUAACAGCAAAAUGCAGUCAGUGUCAGCAAAGGAGGCUUGUGAAAAGGUUAAAUGCAUGUUUUCCUAGAUUUACUGUUGAAAAAUGAUGAAAAGUUACAAGGUCUAAAUGGCAGCACAUUCAUGGAAUCACCCUUUACUAGUUUUACAUUCUACAAUUUACAUUUCACUCUGCGCUUUGGUGUCCAUGAUCACUUGAGUACAGUGUAGAUUUUUUUUUUACCCAAUUUUCAUGUCAAGCCAUUUUCUCUUUCUUUCUUUCUCUCUUUCUUACUUUCUUUCUUUCUUUUGCCAUUUUCUGUAAUUUGUCUCCAGGUUUUGUCCUUUUUUGUCCCACAUGCUGUUAUGCUGCUAAAUAAUAAUUUUAUUGGUGUAGACCUGAGUCAAAAUAACUUCCACUUCUGCCUCUGAGAGAUUACUUUUCUUUCACUGUUUUGUCCCCAUUUUAGUGUUAUGAGAGCUUUAACUUUUAUCAAGUUUUCUUGGAGUCACUAAAAGUAAAUAACUGUGCUGUGAAUGCUCUGGGCAAGUUACAGUUGAUUGGCAUUUUAUGUAGCGAACACAGAGAUGUACCAGUGUUGUUAUAAUAAAUAUCAGCACUCUUGGAAUGCUGCUUGUCCAAUCAAAUUAGUGGACCGGAACUAAUUGUUGUAUAAUACGACUUUAUAAGAUUAUGUACCAUAACAGCCUCCUGUCCUGUGCUUUUGAGUUCCUCUCCUUCUCUGUUCAGCUGACAAGGGCUUACAUACGUUAGCACCCACCUAAUUGUGGAGGCUUCACUGUUGUUUUCUUGCCCUGGUACACCUCUUUCCCUAGGUACUAAUUACUUUUAACUGAGAGUCAUUAUGUCAUGGCAGAAUGGACUCGCUUGCAGGAAUCAAAGUCCUUUUAGAAAAACAGUAAUUAAAAGCCCAGGUAGCUGGCUUCAGGGCACCGAGCAUGAAGACCCACUGCAGAGAAAGUAGAAAGACACAGAAGUCCUGAAGUUAACUGGAGGAGCAUUAAAAACAAAGCUAUUUGAAGGGAAAAUUGUCCACAAAGUCUUUUUUCUGUGAAGUCAAGCUAUUACAUGUCCUAGUAAUUUUGUUCAGUUCUAGAAAAAAAGCAGCAUGCAUUCUGGGAGGACGGUGUCUGACUGGAGAUGAAGUGGAAACUGAGGUUGAUGGAGGUGCUUGAGGGUUCUCUGGCAAAGCCCAAGCCAUCUGAUCACACCAGCUUCACGGUGCCACCUCGAAGUUACACUCACUGAUAGACACAAUUCUCUGAAAACCAAGGCCGUCAGGCAUCGGAGAGAGACUCCUGCAAUUCACAGCCCAUAUGGUUUCGAAACAGGAAAUAAUUUGUUUCAUGGUGUGAGAAACUAUUGCCAAGCCAGUCUGCCAUUCUGGUGCUGAACAACAUUCGCCAUGGGCUACUGUUGUUAUCAUUUUCCAAGUUUCAUGCUGAUGAAAAUAUCAAUGUAUUCAUAUCACAUGUACUGUUUUCAUGUUUCAUAGUUAAUA